UAAUACGUAGGUGGCGAGCGUUGUCCGGAUUUACUGGGCGUAAAGGAUGCGUAGGCGGAUAUUUAAGUGAGAUGUGAAAUACCCGAGCUUAACUUGGGUGCUGCAUUUCAAACUGGAUAUCUAGAGUGUGGGAGAGGAGAAUGGAAUUCCUAGUGUAGCGGUGAAAUGCGUAGAGAUUAGGAAGAACACCAGUGGCGAAGGCGAUUCUCUGGACCAUAACUGACGCUGAGGCAUGAAAGCGUGGGUAGCAAACAG
RNAcentral lists this ribosomal RNA (255 nucleotides) under uncultured prokaryote. RNAcentral's name for it is "partial 16S ribosomal RNA". It matches the Rfam family "Bacterial small subunit ribosomal RNA", at positions 521 to 775 of the family's 1533-position model. The record is from RNAcentral.